UGACGUGAUGAUGAUGGACUGAAUCCCUU
Molecule: non-coding RNA, 29 nt
Filed under: Rattus norvegicus (Norway rat)
Lineage: Eukaryota; Metazoa; Chordata; Mammalia; Rodentia; Muridae
Source: RNAcentral